GGCCGGCUGGCGCAAUGGUAGCGCUUCAGACUUCUAUUGAAUAGUAAUCUGGAGGUUGUGGGUUCGAGCCCCACGUCGGUCA
This 82-nucleotide transfer RNA is filed under the name Colletotrichum sublineola. It matches the Rfam family "tRNA". From Rfam's summary of the family: Transfer RNA (tRNA) molecules are approximately 80 nucleotides in length. Their secondary structure includes four short double-helical elements and three loops (D, anti-codon, and T loops). Further hydrogen bonds mediate the characteristic L-shaped molecular structure. tRNAs have two regions of fundamental functional importance: the anti-codon, which is responsible for specific mRNA codon recognition, and the 3' end, to which the tRNAs corresponding amino acid is attached (by aminoacyl-tRNA synthetases). tRNAs cope with the degeneracy of the genetic code in two manners: having more than one tRNA (with a specific anti-codon) for a particular amino acid; and 'wobble' base-pairing, i.e. permitting non-standard base-pairing at the 3rd anti-codon position. The record is from Rfam by way of RNAcentral. Lineage: Eukaryota; Fungi; Ascomycota; Sordariomycetes; Glomerellales; Glomerellaceae.